RNAcentral lists this RNase P RNA (410 nucleotides) under Saprospiraceae bacterium. RNAcentral's name for it is "RNase P RNA component class A". It matches the Rfam family "Bacterial RNase P class A". Rfam says of the family: Ribonuclease P (RNase P) is a ubiquitous endoribonuclease, found in archaea, bacteria and eukarya as well as chloroplasts and mitochondria. Its best characterised activity is the generation of mature 5'-ends of tRNAs by cleaving the 5'-leader elements of precursor-tRNAs. Lineage: Bacteria; Pseudomonadati; Bacteroidota; Saprospiria; Saprospirales; Saprospiraceae. The record is from RNAcentral.
AGCAGAGGGAGCUCCAUCGCGCAGGUCCUUAAAGUAGGCCUUGUGAGGAAAAUCCGGACAACGUAGAGCACCACACCAUCUAACGGAUGGGGUUCUGACCCACCGGUCAGAAUACAGAUAGUGUCGCAGAAAAUUACCGCCCCGAGCAAUUGGGGUAAGGGUGAAAACGUGUGGUAAGAGCACACGCAGAAGUGAGGUAACUCAUUUUUGGGAUAAACCUUGUGGGUUGAAAUGUCAUGUAUAUUCCGGGCUGCCGCAAUGGCAGAUUGAGUGGCUCGUUCAAUCGCAUUUAUGCGAUCGGAAGGGGUGGACAGCUAGAUCACUAUUGUGAAGUAGUGACCAGAUAAAUGAUGGAGAUUCUGACAGUAUUUGUCAGAAUACAGAAUCCGGUUUAUAUCCCUCUGUAUUUU